RNAcentral lists this ribosomal RNA (453 nucleotides) under uncultured Simplicispira sp. Its description in RNAcentral is "bacterial SSU rRNA". It matches the Rfam family "Bacterial small subunit ribosomal RNA", at positions 929 to 1382 of the family's 1533-position model. The record is from RNAcentral. Lineage: Bacteria; Pseudomonadati; Pseudomonadota; Betaproteobacteria; Burkholderiales; Comamonadaceae.
GCGGUGGAUGAUGUGGUUUAAUUCGAUGCAACGCGAAAAACCUUACCCACCUUUGACAUGUACGGAAGAUCGCAGAGACGCGAUUGUGCUCGAAAGAGAGCCGUAACACAGGUGCUGCAUGGCUGUCGUCAGCUCGUGUCGUGAGAUGUUGGGUUAAGUCCCGCAACGAGCGCAACCCUUGCCAUUAGUUGCUACAUUCAGUUGGGCACUCUAAUGGGACUGCCGGUGACAAACCGGAGGAAGGUGGGGAUGACGUCAAGUCCUCAUGGCCCUUAUAGGUGGGGCUACACACGUCAUACAAUGGCUGGUACAAAGGGUUGCCAACCCGCGAGGGGGAGCUAAUCCCAUAAAGCCAGUCGUAGUCCGGAUCGUAGUCUGCAACUCGACUACGUGAAGUCGGAAUCGCUAGUAAUCGUGGAUCAGAAUGUCACGGUGAAUACGUUCCCGGGUCUU